Molecule: transfer-messenger RNA, 357 nt
Filed under: Thiosulfativibrio zosterae
Lineage: Bacteria; Pseudomonadati; Pseudomonadota; Gammaproteobacteria; Thiotrichales; Piscirickettsiaceae
Description: Standard tmRNA
Rfam family: transfer-messenger RNA
About the family: Bacterial tmRNA, also known as 10Sa RNA or SsrA, is named for its dual tRNA and mRNA-like properties. Its role is to liberate the mRNA from a stalled ribosome.
Source: Rfam by way of RNAcentral
GGGGCUGCACUUGGUUUCGACGGGGAGUACAAAGUUUAAGAUGCAUGUCGAGCCUGAAUGAUGCUCGUUAAUCCUUAUUUCAAUUUGUUAUAGUUGCAAACGACGAUAACUACGCUCUAGCCGCUUAAGCCGGCUAGUGCAGACUAGGACCGUUGUUCGUAGCCCCUAGUCUGUAUCGACUUAUACGGAAUCGUGUUGUGCAUGUGUUUGGAUGUACCUCACUAAACUUUACAAACUCGCCGAAUGUGAUCCCUGCUAGUCGGGUAACAACUUGGUUAAAUCAAUAGACUAAAUAAACAUGUAGACUUUUAGAUGGCGACUUUGCGGACGGCGGUUCGACUCCGCCCAGCUCCACCA